UGGCUCAAUGGUAGAGCGUUUGACUCAAAUAUCAAAGGUCGUGGGUUCGAAUCCCAG
Molecule: transfer RNA, 57 nt
Filed under: Schistocephalus solidus
Lineage: Eukaryota; Metazoa; Platyhelminthes; Cestoda; Diphyllobothriidea; Diphyllobothriidae
Rfam family: tRNA
About the family: Transfer RNA (tRNA) molecules are approximately 80 nucleotides in length. Their secondary structure includes four short double-helical elements and three loops (D, anti-codon, and T loops). Further hydrogen bonds mediate the characteristic L-shaped molecular structure. tRNAs have two regions of fundamental functional importance: the anti-codon, which is responsible for specific mRNA codon recognition, and the 3' end, to which the tRNAs corresponding amino acid is attached (by aminoacyl-tRNA synthetases). tRNAs cope with the degeneracy of the genetic code in two manners: having more than one tRNA (with a specific anti-codon) for a particular amino acid; and 'wobble' base-pairing, i.e. permitting non-standard base-pairing at the 3rd anti-codon position.
Source: Rfam by way of RNAcentral